UGAAAGUCAUUUGUGAUUGAGACUCCCAAUGAGAUCAAAGGGGUUCUCAUGUGCACCGAUUUCAGGAAGCAUUUAACAAGUAUUUAUUGAGUGGCUCCUGUGUCCUAGUCAUGGUUUAUCCAUAUGUACAUUUUGGUACGUGAAAAAUCUACCUGAUAAAAGCAAUCAAAGACAGAUGUCAGCUAAAUCGAGGUGCUUAAAUUUCUUUGUGUUCCAGCUAAUGGGCAGUGUGAUGUGGUGGAAACUGUCCCGGUAGGAAAAACCUAGCUGUGGGCCUUGUGCACAUCCCUUCCUUCAUCUACAAUCUCAGGGCAUUGGCCUGAUAAUCUGGAAAAUCUCUGCCCAUAUUCUAUAAUUCUACUGCAGUCCAGAAUGCAUAAUUCUGCCACACGUCAAAAGACUACAAGAAAGAAUUUGUAAUUAAUGGACAACUGUGGGAUAUUUGUUUCCCUUCUGCAUUAGAAAUAUAAUCAAAGAUUCUACAUUUUAGGAGAGAGAGAGUCUGGCUGGCAAAGUUUGCCUCAGCCAAGUGCCUGCCCCUUUGAUGUAUCCACGCAGUGAGGGUCGGAAUCUGGCCACUGGAGCCUGGAGGAGACGCCUGAGCUUCCACAGCAAAAGAGCAGGUGGACAUAAGCCAUGACAGUAAUGAGGGAGUGCAGAAAUAGCACCAGGAAGACAAAGGCUCUGGAUUCAAGGCUGCGAUUGGUGAACCAAAGCAGAAGAAGCAUCAACUAUACAACAACACAAAUCAUCAGGAACAAAUAAUUUGAUUCAUUGUGGCAGACUUACUAAAUUAAGGAAGUGAAUCAUAUUGGAAUACAGAAAAAUUCAAAGCAUUCAGAUGCACUGAAAGUUAAAUGUAAUUUUCAUAGAAUUAAAUAUGUGGUAGAUUAUUUUUAACAAUGCCAGAAUUAUGUUUUGUCUUUUACAUAAGCUUUAUUAAAACAACCCCAUAUGCAAAUCAUUAACAUGAAAUCGAUGGAGCUAUUCAGGUCUCUUUUAGGUAUGACUUCCUAGGACUCAGCUUGCAGCCAAAAUUUCCAGAAACAUUUCAUUUUAGUGACUGCUACCCAUUAUAACACUGGUAAUUAAUUCUUUUGGAGUUACUUCAGAUUAAGUUAAAUCACAUAAAAUUCAGCUCUUGAAGAAGAAUAAUGACAUUCUCAAAAAUAUACUAAUAAAUAUUGCCUCUAAAUAAGAUGACCUAAUAUCUCAAAGAUACUGUUAAUAUUAAUAUUGACAAAGGGGGAAAAUGUACUAGUAUAUAAUAACAGCUUUAAAAACCUUUAUAUAUAUAUUGUUCCCAUAAUAUUACUUAUAAGAGUUUAUCUUAAGGCAAGAUUUGGAGAUUGUCUUAGAAAAUAUUACUGGUAAUUUAUUUGCUAAACUGGAGAUUUUGUUCAUAAAUGUUUGUAGAAAAGGUCUUGAAUUCAAUAGAGAAGUUCCAUCCCUUAUUUUUAUAUUUGAGUCUCAAGAUCUUAUGGAAUAUCA
Molecule: long non-coding RNA, 1491 nt
Filed under: Homo sapiens (human)
Lineage: Eukaryota; Metazoa; Chordata; Mammalia; Primates; Hominidae
Description: HSALNT0395203
Source: RNAcentral